Notechis scutatus (mainland tiger snake) is the source of this 88-nucleotide non-coding RNA. Lineage: Eukaryota; Metazoa; Chordata; Lepidosauria; Squamata; Elapidae. The record is from RefSeq and is a predicted model, not a curated record.
AAUUGGAAUUUCAGCUCCAAUUUGAGAAGAUUUUGGAGUGACAAUUUUUACCUGACCAUAAUCAGGAGGGGGGCUUAUAGUCUAUUAU